AUCCAGCUGACGAGUCCCAAAUAGGACGAAGUGGCGCGCUUCCUGGAU
This is a non-coding RNA of Schistosoma mansoni, 48 nucleotides long. The record is from Rfam. NCBI's taxonomy places the organism in Eukaryota, Metazoa, Platyhelminthes, Trematoda, Strigeidida, Schistosomatidae.